GGCGAGUUUGAUCCUGGCUCAGAGCGAACGCUGGCGGCAGGCUUAACACAUGCAAGUCGAGCGGGCGUAGCAAUACGUCAGCGGCAGACGGGUGAGUAACGCGUGGGAACGUACCUUUUGGUUCGGAACAACCCAGGGAAACUUGGGCUAAUACCGGAUAAGCCCUUACGGGGAAAGAUUUAUCGCCGAAAGAUCGGCCCGCGUCUGAUUAGCUAGUUGGUGAGGUAACGGCUCACCAAGGCGACGAUCCGUAGCUGGUCUGAGAGGACGAUCAGCCACACUGGGACUGAGACACGGCCCAGACUCCUACGGGAGGCAGCAGUGGGGAAUCUUGCGCAAUGGGCGAAAGCCUGACGCAGCGACGCCGCGUGGGGGAAGAAGGCUUUCGGGUUGUAAACCCCUUUCAGGAGAGACGAAGCUACUCGGGUUAAUAGCCCAGAGGGUGACGGUAUCUCCAGAAGAAGCCCCGGCUAACUACGUGCCAGCAGCCGCGGUAAUAA
RNAcentral lists this ribosomal RNA (500 nucleotides) under uncultured bacterium. RNAcentral describes it as "bacterial SSU rRNA". It matches the Rfam family "Bacterial small subunit ribosomal RNA", at positions 9 to 526 of the family's 1533-position model. The record is from RNAcentral.